UACGUAGGGUGCAAGCGUUAAUCGGAAUUACUGGGCGUAAAGCGUGCGCAGGCGGCUUUGCAAGACAGAUGUGAAAUCCCCGGGCUUAACCUGGGAACUGCAUUUGUGACUGCAUGGCUGGAGUGCGGCAGAGGGGGAUGGAAUUCCGCGUGUAGCAGUGAAAUGCGUAGAUAUGCGGAGGAACACCGAUGGCGAAGGCAAUCCCCUGGGCCUGCACUGACGCUUAUGCACGAAAGCGUGGGGAGCAAACAGG
Molecule: ribosomal RNA, 253 nt
Filed under: uncultured bacterium
Lineage: Bacteria
Description: partial 16S ribosomal RNA
Rfam family: Bacterial small subunit ribosomal RNA
Source: RNAcentral